AUGGCGCUCACUCGCCUGAGUCGCCUCCUCCUCCUCCUCCUCUGCGCCGCAUUGCCAAUGCUCUUCUUCACGUGCGCAGAAGCGGGCGAGGUGGGCGUGAGCUACGGAAGGAUCGGGAACAACCUGAUGGACCCAGCGUCGGUGGUUCAGCUGCUGAAGAGCAACGGCAUCACGAUGGUGAGGGUGUACGACACCGACUCCACGGUGCUCACCGCAAUGAAGAACACCGGCAUCAAGUUGGUGGUGGCGGUGCCCAACGAGAACGUCGCCCUUGCGGCCGCGGAUCCCAACUGGGCCGUGCAGUGGGCUAAGAACAAUCUGAUGCCCUACUACCCCGCCACGGAUAUCCGCGGAGUAACGGUAGGGAAUGAGGUCUUCAACCAGGCCAAGGGACUUACGUCGCAGCUCCUCCCGGCCAUGAGGAACGUGCAGGCGGCGCUGGCUGGCCUGGGCCUCGCCGACGCCGUGAAGGUCACCACGCCGAUCGCGUUCAACGCGCUCAAGAAAUCGUUCCCGCCAUCCAAGAGCCUGUUCCAGGACGACAUCGCCCAGUCGGUGAUGAGUCCCAUGAUCGACUUCUUGGAGCAGACGGGCUCCUACCUCAUGGCCAACAUCUACCCGUACUACACGUACACGUCCCAAUCAGACACAAUCAACCUCAACUACGCGACCUUCCGCCCGAACGACGGCGUCGUCGACGAUGGGACCGGCGUCAGGUAUGACAACCUGUUUGACGCCCAGCUCGACGCCGUGUACUACGCGAUAGACAAUCUACGGGCCUCCUCCACCAAGCGCACCGUGGAGACCUUGCUCAGGGGAGCGCACCGCCGACAUGUGCCCGUGGUAACAGGGGAAUCCGGGUGGUGCUCCUACUGCCCACAGGCGGUGGGGGCCAGCAAGGAAAACGCCCAAGCGUACAACGCUAACCUCGUCAAGCACGUGCAAUCUGGCGGCGCCAGCACCACGUACAGCUCGCUCGCCGUCGGCGCUGCCGCCGCCGACAUCUCCGUGUACAUCUUCGCCCUUUUCAACGAGAACGACAAGCCCGCCGACGAGCAGAACUUCGGCCUGUUCUACCCGAGCGGGCAGCCGGUGUAUGCGGUCGACUUCAGGGCCGGCGGCAGCCCCAGCCCCGGUCCAACCAAAUCCAGCUGGUGCGUGGCGAACGCGGCCGUCGGGGACGCGCGCCUGCAGGCGGCGCUGGACUACGCGUGCGGCAACGGGGCCGACUGCGGUGCCAUCCAGCCGGGAAAGCCGUGCUACGAGCCCAACACCAAGGUUGCGCACGCGUCCUACGCCUUCAACGACUACUACCAGCGCAAGGGCCGCGCCAGUGGGACGUGCGACUUCAGCGGCGCUGCUUCUAUCGUCUACCAGCAACCUGCCGGCAUUUGCGACCCGAAGACGGCAGGCAGCUGGUGCGUAGCCAAUGCGGCGGUCGGGGACACACGACUCCAGACGGCACUAGACUACGCGUGUGGCCACGGCGCAGACUGCAGUGCUAUCCAGCGCGGCGCGCGUUGCUUCGAUCCCGACACCAAGGUCGCGCACGCGUCCUACGCCUUCAACGACUACUACCAGCACAACGGCCGCUCUGCCAAUUCCUGCAACUUUAACGGCGCUGGUUCCAUCGUCUACCAGCAACCAAAGAUAGGCAACUGCGUGCUACCGUCAACAGGCUGA
This 1683-nucleotide ribosomal RNA is filed under the name Triticum aestivum (bread wheat). RNAcentral's name for it is "partial small subunit ribosomal RNA". Lineage: Eukaryota; Viridiplantae; Streptophyta; Magnoliopsida; Poales; Poaceae. The record is from RNAcentral.